UUUGGCCAGAACAACUUGGUGUGGCUCUUUCAACCAGCUUACUGAGGUGGAGUUGCUGAACCUGGAUUGGGACACAGGCUGUGAUCCUUACGUUCAACAUCAACCACUCAGUCCUGGCCACAAACACCACCUCAUCAUAGACUCCCCAGCUUCCAGAACCAGGUCUGCGUCAGAUCUCCUGGCGGGACCAUUCCGCCUUAAAGGUACUCUAGGGUUUGCAUGUGGGUGGGGGUGGGCAACACAAAUGGAACAGGGUCCAAUAAACAGGAAGUGAUUGUGUUUCAAGGUUGGAUUCAGAGCACCGCAUGCAUCUCUCUAGCUGGCUUCCUUGCAAUUCCAGCACUGGGGACCACUGACUCCCUCCCCCAAUAUGUGACAUUUCAAUAUUGGGCACAGGAGAACAGUGACUGAAGAGGACCAAAACUAGAGAUUAAGAUAGGCUAAGGCCAGGCUCUCAGGACAGAACAGGUAAAAUCUGGCUCGCUAUGCUCACAGAGGUUUGAGGAAAGAGCGGUACGUGAGCAGGUGCUGUGGAGGGGUCUCAUUAGGUAGAUGCAUGACAAUCAUUGUCCCACUCCCAGGACCCUCACGGAGGAAA
This is a long non-coding RNA of Mus musculus (house mouse), 598 nucleotides long. RefSeq annotates it as predicted gene, 40337. The transcript has 3 exons. The record is from RefSeq and is a predicted model, not a curated record. NCBI's taxonomy places the organism in Eukaryota, Metazoa, Chordata, Mammalia, Rodentia, Muridae.